UAUAUCGCCUUUUGAGGUUAUU
This 22-nucleotide microRNA is filed under the name Nematostella vectensis (starlet sea anemone). Its description in RNAcentral is "nve-miR-2043-5p". Lineage: Eukaryota; Metazoa; Cnidaria; Anthozoa; Actiniaria; Edwardsiidae. The record is from miRBase by way of RNAcentral.